GAAAGGCGGAUUAAUACCCCAUGGUACCUUCGGGUUAAAGGUGGCUUCGGCUGCCGCUGCGGGAUUGGCUCGCGUCCUAUCAGCUUGUUGGCGGGGUAACGGCCCACCAAGGCUACGACGGGUAACUGGUCUGAGAGGAUGAUCAGUCACACUGGAACUGAGACACGGUCCAGACACCUACGGGUGGCAGCAGUCGAGAAUAAUUCACAAUGGACGAAAGUCUGAUGGUGCAACGCCGCGUGGAGGAUGACGGUCUUCGGAUUGUAAACUCCUGUCAUCGGGGAGUAAGACCUGGGGGUCAAUAGCCCACAGGGUUGAUAGUACCCGAAGAGGAAGGGACGGCUAACUUCGUGCCAGCAGCCGCGGUAAUACGAAGGUCCCGAGCGUUGUUCGGAAUCACUGGGCGUAAAGGGAGCGUAGGCGGUUUGGUAAGUCAGAUGUGAAAUCCCGGGGCUCAACCCCGGAACUGCAUCCGAUACUGCCGGACUUGAGUAGUGGAGGGGUAGAUGGAAUUCUCGGUGUAGCAGUGAAAUGCGUGGAUAUCGAGAGGAACACUCGUGGCGAAGGCGAUCUACUGGACACUUACUGACGCUGAGGCUCGAAGGCCAGGGGAGCGAAAGGGAUUAGAUACCCCUGUAGUCCUGGCAGUAAACGGUGCGCGCUUGGUGUGAGGGGUUUCGACCCCCCUUGUGCCGGAGCUAACGCGUUAAGCGCGCCGCCUGGGAAGUACGGUCGCAAGACUAAAACUCAAAGAAAUUGACGGGGACCCGCACAAGCGGUGGAGUAUGUGGCUUAAUUCGAUGCAACGCGAAGAACCUUACCUGGGCUUGACAUGCAUCG
This 840-nucleotide ribosomal RNA is filed under the name uncultured Haloferula sp. RNAcentral describes it as "bacterial SSU rRNA". It matches the Rfam family "Bacterial small subunit ribosomal RNA", at positions 153 to 993 of the family's 1533-position model. Lineage: Bacteria; Pseudomonadati; Verrucomicrobiota; Verrucomicrobiia; Verrucomicrobiales; Verrucomicrobiaceae. The record is from RNAcentral.